RNAcentral lists this unclassified non-coding RNA (204 nucleotides) under uncultured Sebacina. RNAcentral's name for it is "sequence contains ITS2". The record is from RNAcentral. Lineage: Eukaryota; Fungi; Basidiomycota; Agaricomycetes; Sebacinales; Sebacinaceae.
GUACUCUCACACUCUCUGAUCCUUUGGAUUUGGGGAGCGGUGGACUUGGGUGCUUGCUGCUUCCUUGUGGCUCACCUGAAAUGCAUCAGUGCAUCUCUUGAUUGGACAUAGUACGGCGUGAUAAGUGUCUUCGCCGGCACCUCAUAAGAGGGUGGCUGAUCGGGAGCUCUGUGCUUUCAAACCGUCUCAGGACAGUAUUUGAUA